CAGAGAAUAGUUUAUUUAAAAUAUUAAUUUUGGAGAUUAAUGAUGAGAUUUAUCUUUUCUUUGA
RNAcentral lists this transfer RNA (64 nucleotides) under Periplaneta japonica. RNAcentral describes it as "tRNA-Pro". The record is from RNAcentral. Lineage: Eukaryota; Metazoa; Arthropoda; Insecta; Blattodea; Blattidae.